ACAACCAGGAUGUUGGCUCAGAAGCAGCCACUCAUUCAAAGAGUGCGUAAUAGCUCACUGGUCGAGUGAAGUUGCGCGGAAAAUUACCGGGGCUAAGCUAUACACCGAAAUUGCGGAUUUACAUUUGAAAGACAAUGUAAGUGGUAGAGGAGCAUUCUGUAGUAGGAAGAAGCAUGACCGUAAGGACAUGUGGACGAAGCAGAAGAGAGAAUGCUGGAAUAAGUAGCGAGAGCAAGGUGAGAAUCCUUGCCGUCGAAAAUCUAAGGUUUCCUGGGGAAGGUUCGUCCGCCCAGGGUAAGUCGGGACCUAAGGAGAGGCCGAAAGGCGUAUCUGAUGGAUAGCAGGUUGAAAUUCCUGCACUACGAAUAUACUUAAAAGAUUCAAGGGACGCAGAAGUGGAAGAUAACCAAGUAAGAGGAAAAGCUUGGCUCGCAAGAGGGAGUGAAAAUUAAAAGUAACGAAGUAUCAAGAAGCACGCUGACGAGAAAAGCUUGAAGAUAUUGUAUAUAAGUACCCGUACCGCAAACCGACACAGGUAGAUGAGGAGAGGAUCCUAAGACGAGCGGGAGAAGCAUUGUUAAGGAACUCGGCAAAUUAACCCCGUAACUUCGGAAUAAGGGGUGCUGAUGUAACAGUCAGUCGCAGAGAAAAGGCCCAAGCAACUGUUUAACAAAAACAUAGGUUUCUGCUAAAUCGAAAGAUGAAGUAUAGGAGCUGACGCCUGCCCAGUGCUGGAAGGUUAAGGGAAAGAGUUAGGGUUAAACCGAAGCUUAGAACUGAAGCCCCAGUGAACGGCGGCCGUAACUAUAACGGUCCUAAGGUAGCGAAAUUCCUUGUCAGGUAAGUUCUGACCCGCACGAAAGGCGUAAUGAUUUGGGCGCUGUCUCGACAAUGUCCCCGGCGAAAUUGUAGUACUAGUGAAGAUGCUAGUUACCUGCGAUAAGACAGAAAGACCCCAUGGAGCUUUACUGCAGUUUGAUACUGGGUUUCGAUGAUUUAUGUACAGGAUAGUUGGGAGACUAUGAAAGAGAGGCGUCAGCUUCUCCGGAGUCAUUGUUGGGAUACCAACCUUAAGUUAUUGAAAUUCUAACUUGUAAUCGUAAACCGGUUAGAGGACAAUGUCAGACGGGCAGUUUGACUGGGGCGGUCGCCUCCUAAAGAGUAACGGAGGCGCCCAAAGGUUUCCUCAGCGCGGACAGAAAUCGCGCAAAAGAGUGUAAAGGCAGAAGGAAGCUUAACUGAGAGACAGACAUGUCGACCAGAUACGAAAGUAGGGCUUAGUGAUCCGGUGGUUGUAAAUGGAAAUGCCAUCGCUCAACGGACAAAAGUUACCCUGGGGAUAACAGGCUUAUCUCCCCCAAGAGUUCACAUCGACGGGGAGGUUUGGCACCUCGAUGUCGGCUCAUCGCAUCCUGGAGCGGAAGUACGUUCCAAGGGUUGGGCUGUUCGCCCAUUAAAGCGGUACGCGAGCUGGGUUCAGAACGUCGUGAGACAGUUCGGUCCUUAUCU
RNAcentral lists this ribosomal RNA (1509 nucleotides) under human gut metagenome. Its description in RNAcentral is "bacterial LSU rRNA". It matches the Rfam family "Bacterial large subunit ribosomal RNA", at positions 1089 to 2643 of the family's 2925-position model. The record is from RNAcentral.